This 30-nucleotide small RNA is filed under the name Bombyx mori (domestic silkworm). RNAcentral's name for it is "ovarian small RNA-29310". Lineage: Eukaryota; Metazoa; Arthropoda; Insecta; Lepidoptera; Bombycidae. The record is from RNAcentral.
UCGUGGAGAUACACGUUCCUCUGGAACCAU